Molecule: long non-coding RNA, 621 nt
Filed under: Phoenix dactylifera (date palm)
Lineage: Eukaryota; Viridiplantae; Streptophyta; Magnoliopsida; Arecales; Arecaceae
Description: long non-coding RNA (PDAC_LNC016100)
Source: RNAcentral
CCGGGAAGGUCUGGGAUGAAAUUUAUGACUGUCGUACAAGAGGAAAUUGCAUUCAGUUUGCCUAGCUUGAAUACUAUCGAUAAUUGAACUGCUUCUAAAGCCAUUGGCUAUCAGCACAUCAACAAUUCUUACUGCACUGGGAAGUGGAUUACUUGUCAUUCUUCAGCUCUUGGAAUGUCACAAACUAUAUCGGCUACAAUGGCUGGACACAAAAUCUGAUUUUUUGCAGUCAAUCAGAGGGAAGGACGGGAUGACCAAUUCUCGUUUCUAGAACUCAGAGGGUGAUUCCAAGGAUCAAAUUGUCCUACUCAAUAUAAUGUAAUGGCAAGAACGACAUUGGAGACAAGCGUAGGGCAGGGCAUGGUGACUGGGAUGGCAGCAGCGAAAUGUUAGCGUUAUCGGAGUAGGUGGGAGGCAAGAGAGGAUGCAAGAAAUAGAGGACGAUUGGGUUAAAAUUCUAUCAAAUUUAUGGAUUAGGCCAGUACAAUCAGUAGAGAAUGCAGAGAUGAUUGGGCGAAUUUAUGAAUUAGGCCAGUACAAUAAGUAAAAUUAUAUUGAGCUAGAUAUGUAUUUAUAAAUACCUGAAAACUGAGCUGGCUUGAAUCCUACAGAGAAGUUGAG